This 253-nucleotide ribosomal RNA is filed under the name uncultured bacterium. RNAcentral describes it as "partial 16S ribosomal RNA". It matches the Rfam family "Bacterial small subunit ribosomal RNA", at positions 524 to 776 of the family's 1533-position model. The record is from RNAcentral.
UACGGAGGGUGCAAGCGUUAUCCGGAUUUACUUGGUUUAAAGGGUGUGUAGGCGGGCCUUUAAGUCAGUGGUGAAAUCUCCAGGCUCAACCUGGGAACUGCAUUUAAGACUGUUGAGCUUGAGUAGAAUAGAGGUAAGUGGAAUUUCCGGUGUAGCGGUGAAAUGCGUAGAUAUCGGAAAGAACACCAGUGGCGAAGGCGACUUACUGGAUUAAUACUGACGCUGAGGCGCGAAAGCAUGGGGAGCAAACAGG